ACGAACGCUGGCGGCGUGCUUAACACAUGCAAGUCGAACGGAAAGGCCCUGCUUUUGUGGGGUGCUCGCGUGGCGAACGGGUGAGUAACACGUGAGUAACCUGCCCUUGACUUUGGGAUAACUUCAGGAAACUGGGGCUAAUACCGGAUAGGAGCUCCUGCUGCAUGGUGGGGGUUGGAAAGUUUCGGCGGUUGGGGAUGGACUCGCGGCUUAUCAGCUUGUUGGUGGGGUAGUGGCUUACCAAGGCUUUGACGGGUAGCCGGCCUGAGAGGGUGACCGGCCACAUUGGGACUGAGAUACGGCCCAGACUCCUACGGGAGGCAGCAGUGGGGAAUAUUGCACAAUGGGCGGAAGCCUGGUGCAGCAACGCCGCGUGCGGGAUGACGGCCUUCGGGUUGUAAACCGCUUUCGCCUGUGACGAAGCGUGAGUGACGGUAAUGGGUAAAGAAGCACCGGCUAACUACGUG
RNAcentral lists this ribosomal RNA (467 nucleotides) under uncultured bacterium. RNAcentral describes it as "partial 16S ribosomal RNA". It matches the Rfam family "Bacterial small subunit ribosomal RNA", at positions 29 to 507 of the family's 1533-position model. The record is from RNAcentral.